Long non-coding RNA from Gossypium arboreum, 177 nucleotides. RefSeq lists it as uncharacterized. Lineage: Eukaryota; Viridiplantae; Streptophyta; Magnoliopsida; Malvales; Malvaceae. The record is from RefSeq and is a predicted model, not a curated record. The transcript is spliced from 3 exons.
CGGCCAGACAGCCAUGGGAGAGAGCUUUUAAGCUGGUUUUGCACAAUUUCACUGCAUAUCAAGAAUCCAAAGAAGAAGUUGCGGAAUAGUCCCUAAAUUUCAAUAUCUUCUACAAAUCAGCCAGUUUUGACAAGCCAGCUCGGAAAUCAGAAUCGGUCGGAGGCUUGCUCACACUAU